This 429-nucleotide ribosomal RNA is filed under the name uncultured bacterium. RNAcentral's name for it is "bacterial SSU rRNA". It matches the Rfam family "Bacterial small subunit ribosomal RNA", at positions 355 to 776 of the family's 1533-position model. The record is from RNAcentral.
UAGGGAAUCUUGGGCAAUGGGCGAAAGCCUGACCCAGCGAUGCCGCGUGUGCGAAGAAGGCCUUAGGGUUGUAAAGCACUUUCAGUUGCGAAGAAAAGCUGCGAUUUAAUACAUCGCGGUCUUGACGUUAACAACAGAAGAAGUACCGGCUAACUCCGUGCCAGCAGCCGCGGUAAUACGGAGGGUACGAACGUUAAUCGGAAUUACUGGGCGUAAAGCGCGCGUAGGCGGUUUGAUAAGUGGGAUGUGAAAGCCCCGGGCUCAACCUGGGAACUGCAUUCCAAACUGUCAGACUAGAGUGUGGUAGAGGGAGGUAGAAUUUCCUGUGUAGCGGUGAAAUGCGUAGAUAUAGGAAGGAAUACCGAUGGCGAAGGCAGCCUCCUGGACCAACACUGACGCUGAGGUGCGAAAGCGUGGGGAGCAAACAGG